Long non-coding RNA from Zalophus californianus (California sea lion), 1335 nucleotides. RefSeq lists it as uncharacterized. The transcript has 4 exons. The record is from RefSeq and is a predicted model, not a curated record. Lineage: Eukaryota; Metazoa; Chordata; Mammalia; Carnivora; Otariidae.
GUCGGGGUGGGGCCUCUCGCCCUGGUCGGCGCGGAGUUGGUCCGGGAGGUUUUGGGGUGGUGCUCUCGAAGACGUGGAGGCGGUUUAAAUUAUAUCAUGCCGUUAGGAGUGUGGAUGUUUCGUCAAGCCAGUUCCCUCUCAGCAGAAGACCUUGCCUUUUACUUCCCAAGAGAAGUGCAAGAUCACCUCAAGGACAUGCGCAUCUUCCUGGGUUACUACUGUUCGACCCUCUGAGCAAAGCAAAGAGGAACUUUCUUUCUGGUGGGGAAAAACAGACAUUACGGAGUAAAAUGGCAAGACCCUCCUAGAAGAAGCCACAUGUUUUAAGGCACAGAAAACUAAAUGACUAAGGAUCAAGGCGGCAUUCAGAAGUGAGAUAAUAUUGGGUGCACCAUGGAUCCAUAAGUCCUAGAAAAUUAUGUGACACUGGGUUAUGAGCUGCAUUAAAGACAUGAGCAUUGGGAAUUUAUGCUGGAAUGUAUUUGAGUUAACUUUGCAGCCACGAAUGGCUUUGAAUUAUAAUAAAUAAUCUUAUGCUUUUCUGGUUCAUGUUUAUCUCCUUUGUUAAUUACAAAUAAUCAUUUUUCAGUUUGGAUGUGCACAGUGGAUUCAUUGCCAUUCUUAUAUUUUUUGUUUUUUAAUGUAAUAUAACUUGAAGAAGAAUUGUAAUAACAUUUGCUUUGGUAGAAGAGGCCCACUUAAAUUCACAGCAUGCCUGAAGUAAUAACAUUGUAAAUGUGGCAGGAAAUAUAAUAAAGAAUAACAAUAAAAUGUUGUAAGCAUUUUCUUGUAAAAAAUAUAGUUCCUUAAAGACUUUUAAUGUAUUGAAAUGUCAUAAAAACAUCAAGAAUGUUUGAAUUUCACACUUUUAACAUAGAUUCACUAACAGAAAUACUGUGUUCUUUUGAAAAAGGAAUAUCAUUCACUUGGACAAGAUAAAACAAAAUCAAAUUGAAAUAUAAUUAAAUCAACUGUUUAAUUUGAUUAAAACACUGGAGCAUUAUGAUUGUGCCAAUAUUCAAAUCUAAAUGGUAAAACGAAACUCUACACUACAAAACCGGACAAUUUCAAAGAAUACCUAGUGUCUUAAUUUCUACUAUGAUGUCUAAAUCUUAACAGAAAAAUGUAAUGACACUUGGGUGAAAGAAGCUACAUACCUUGAAUACUUUGGGCAAGAUUCUUCUAUACACAUGUUCUAAUUUUUUUUCAGAUCAUUAUAAAUGCUGUCUUAAGGUAUUAAAACUAAUUAAGAAACACAAUUAAGUUCUCUGUUUAAUACCAGCCUGAGUCUAAGCAUUGUCAAUGAAUAGCUAAUAUCUAAUAAUUGCUUCCCCA